Molecule: long non-coding RNA, 287 nt
Filed under: Setaria italica (foxtail millet)
Lineage: Eukaryota; Viridiplantae; Streptophyta; Magnoliopsida; Poales; Poaceae
Description: long non-coding RNA (SITA_LNC001068)
Source: RNAcentral
CCCGUAUCAGGCCUCCUCAUUGACAUUGAGCCUAUUCAUAAAUGAAUGCUUGAUUGUGUCCAAUUCAGCUCGAGGAAUCCAUUCAGUAUUAGCUACAGUUCAGUUCAUUUUCUGUACCAACAGUAACAUGCAUGAUCAUUUCAGAAACACUCUGCAUCCAUCAGUAUCUAAAAUAGAUCUGUUAUUUCUAGGAAAAGGAAAGCCAAAGCUGACAAGAAAGCCCAUAUUGAAUAGUUCCCAAAUUUUAGAAACAUAUAUACUAACAGAAGGCUAGCUUACCAAACUGA